RNAcentral lists this long non-coding RNA (768 nucleotides) under Homo sapiens (human). RNAcentral's name for it is "HSALNT0037304". Lineage: Eukaryota; Metazoa; Chordata; Mammalia; Primates; Hominidae. The record is from RNAcentral.
UCGUAGCCAAAUAUAUACAUAACAAAACCUUUCCCAUUUUAACCAUUUUUAAUUAUACAAUUUGGUGGCAUUAAAUACACUCACAGUGUUUGGCAACCAUCAUCACAUCCAUCUCCAGAACUUUAUUAUCAUCCUGAACAUAGUACCUAUGAAACCUGUGAUGGUUAAUGUUGAGUGUCAACUUGAUUGGAUUGAAGGAUACAAACUAUUGAUCCUGGUUGUAUCUGUGAGUGUGUUGCCAAAGGAGAUUAACGUUUGAGUCAGUGGGCUGGGAAGGGAAGACCCACCCUUUAUCUGCGUGGGCACCAUCUAAUCAGCUGCCAGUGCAGCUAGAAUAUAAAGCCGGAAGAAAAAUGUGAAAAGAGAGAGACUGGACUAGCCUCCCAGCCUACAUCUUUCUCCUGUGCUGGAUGCUUCCUGCCCUCGAACAUUGGACAGGUUCUUCAGUUUUGAAAGUAGACUGGCUCUCCUUGCUCCUCCGCCUACAGAUGGCCUAGUUUGGGACCUUGUGAUUGCGAGGAAGAAACAUUAAUGACAGUCAUUACAUUCCCCCAGACUUUCACAUGGAAGAUGCCUGAAGCACUCAGACAGAAUUUUCUUGUUUACUAAGAGGAAGGCUGCAACCCCCAGAGUGACCUGUGUACAUACCUGUCUUCACAGCUGGAAAGAACUUAAUGCAUCUAUGUAAACUGAUUAAGAAUUACAAAUCACAACGAUGAAACCAUCAAUGAGAUUCCUUUAAUAAGUUCCACAUAUAUUUUCGAGGCC